CGUAAAGCUAGAAGUGUUCGCGUUUGUUAGUUAGUGUUUCGUUUGCCAAAAUAGGUUAAAGUUAAGUGUGCGGUGUGAAAUUGUGUGCAAUAGCGGAAAUCAAAGCCAAGAUAGAAGCCAUAUUGGCUUGGGCUUCUCACCCGCAGAAUUUCCACGCACCCAAGCGCGAUACCUGUUCCCCCAACGGACGGAAAAUUCCCGACCACCGACUACCCGUCGGAAGUAGACUGGUCCGUCACCAUACUGGUCUAAGGGAGCUCUGGGGACUUCCACGUGGACGAAGUCCACCUGCCGGUUAAUCCAACUGCCGGCAAAGCAAGCAACCGCCAUCGCUUCAUUGAGCAGCGAUCGCCAGGAGCAUCGACCCUACCCCGUAGGUCAUCGACUGUAGUAAGUCGCAUCGAAUCGGUGAGUCUCCAAUCCAAGUCUAUUUUUGCAUGGAGUGCGGCGUCCGAGGAGGGCGCCGCGGAGGGAUAUUUUUUGCCAGUCUUAGACUGAGGACCCGUGAAAGUGCUAUUACACACAAUCGAGAAAUCGCGAGUUGGAGAGGAAAGCCCACCAACCGCUCAAGUCUGUCAAGUCAAGUCAGUGAAAAGCGUGCAUGAGCCCAUUUUCGCCAACACAUAAAUUCCCACCUAAUACCCGGAGCGCAGAAUGACGAGAAACUGAACUUUCGAUAAUCCGUGACGUCACAUAACAUGUAAAAGCACAGAGCACCAGAGAGUAGAAGAUAGGAUAGAGAAAACCGCACACAAGCUAGAGAUAGGCAAUAGA
This is a long non-coding RNA of Armigeres subalbatus, 774 nucleotides long. RefSeq lists it as uncharacterized. The transcript is spliced from 3 exons. NCBI's taxonomy places the organism in Eukaryota, Metazoa, Arthropoda, Insecta, Diptera, Culicidae. The record is from RefSeq and is a predicted model, not a curated record.